AUUGAACGCUGGCGGCAUGCCUUACACAUGCAAGUCGAACGGCAGCACGGGUGCUUGCACCUGGUGGCGAGUGGCGAACGGGUGAGUAAUACAUCGGAACGUACCUUAUCGUGGGGGAUAACGCAGCGAAAGCUGUGCUAAUACCGCAUACGCCCUGAGGGGGAAAGCGGGGGAUCGCAAGACCUCGCGCGAUUAGAGCGGCCGAUGCCUGAUUAGCUUGUUGGUGGGGUAAAAGCCCACCAAGGCGACGAUCAGUAGCUGGCCUGAGAGGACGAUCAGCCACACUGGGACUGAGACACGGCCCAGACUCCUACGGGAGGCAGCAGUGGGGAAUUUUGGACAAUGGGGGCAACCCUGAUCCAGCAAUGCCGCGUGAGUGAAGAAGGCCUUCGGGUUGUAAAGCUCUUUUGUCAGGGAAGGAACACCGGCUCUAACACAGUCCGGGAAUGACGGUACCUGAAGAAUAAGCACCGGCUAACUACGUGCCAGCAGCCGCCGUAA
This 501-nucleotide ribosomal RNA is filed under the name uncultured bacterium. RNAcentral describes it as "partial 16S ribosomal RNA". It matches the Rfam family "Bacterial small subunit ribosomal RNA", at positions 29 to 523 of the family's 1533-position model. The record is from RNAcentral.